Molecule: ribosomal RNA, 254 nt
Filed under: uncultured bacterium
Lineage: Bacteria
Description: partial 16S ribosomal RNA
Rfam family: Bacterial small subunit ribosomal RNA
Source: RNAcentral
CACGUAGGGUGCAAGCGUUGUCCGGAAUCAUUGGGCGUAAAGAGCUCGUAGGCGGCUUAGUAAGUCGGGUGUGAAAACCCCAGGCCCAACCUGGGGACGCCACCCGAUACUGCUAUAGCUAGAGUCCAGUAGGGGAGUGUGGAAUUCCCAGUGUAGCGGUGAAAUGCGCAGAUAUUGGGAGGAACACCAGCGGCGAAGGCGGCACUCUGGGCUGGUACUGACGCUGAGGAGCGAAAGCGUGGGUAGCGAACAGG